GAUGAACGCUGGCGGCGUGCCUAAUACAUGCAAGUCGAGCGAACGGACGAGAAGCUUGCUUCUCUGAUGUUAGCGGCGGACGGGUGAGUAACACGUGGAUAACCUACCUAUAAGACUGGGAUAACUUCGGGAAACCGGAGCUAAUACCGGAUAAUAUUUUGAACCGCAUGGUUCAAAAGUGAAAGACGGUCUUGCUGUCACUUAUAGAUGGAUCCGCGCUGCAUUAGCUAGUUGGUAAGGUAACGGCUUACCAAGGCAACGAUGCAUAGCCGACCUGAGAGGGUGAUCGGCCACACUGGAACUGAGACACGGUCCAGACUCCUACGGGAGGCAGCAGUAGGGAAUCUUCCGCAAUGGGCGAAAGCCUGACGGAGCAACGCCGCGUGAGUGAUGAAGGUCUUCGGAUCGUAAAACUCUGUUAUUAGGGAAGAACAUAUGUGUAAGUAACUGUGCACAUCUUGACGGUACCUAAUCAGAAAGCCACGGCUAACUACGUGCCAGCAGCCGCGGUAAUACGUAGGUGGCAAGCGUUAUCCGGAAUUAUUGGGCGUAAAGCGCGCGUAGGCGGUUUUUUAAGUCUGAUGUGAAAGCCCGCGGCUCAACCGUGGAGGGUCAUUGGAAACUGGAAAACUUGAGUGCAGAAGAGGAAAGUGGAAUUCCAUGUGUAGCGGUGAAAUGCGCAGAGAUAUGGAGGAACACCAGUGGCGAAGGCGACUUUCUGGUCUGUAACUGACGCUGAUGUGCGAAAGCGUGGGGAUCAAACAGGAUUAGAUACCCUGGCCGUCCACGCCGUAAACGAUGAGUGCUAAGUGUUAGGGGGUUUCCGCCCCUUAGUGCUGCAGCUAACGCAUUAAGCACUCCGCCUGGGGAGUACGACCGCAAGGUUGAAACUCAAAGGAAUUGACGGGGACCCGCACAAGCGGUGGAGCAUGUGGUUUAAUUCGAAGCAACGCGAAGAACCUUACCAAAUCUUGACAUCCUUUGACAACUCUAGAGAUAGAGCUUUCCCCUUCGGGGGACAAAGUGACAGGUGGUGCAUGGUUGUCGUCAGCUCGUGUCGUGAGAUGUUGGGUUAAGUCCCGCAACGAGCGCAACCCUUAAGCUUAGUUGCCAUCAUUAAGUUGGGCACUCUAAGUUGACUGCCGGUGACAAACCGGAGGAAGGUGGGGAUGACGUCAAAUCAUCAUGCCCCUUAUGAUUUGGGCUACACACGUGCUACAAUGGACAAUACAAAGGGCAGCGAAACCGCGAGGUCAAGCAAAUCCCAUAAAGUUGUUCUCAGUUCGGAUUGUAGUCUGCAACUCGACUACAUGAAGCUGGAAUCGCUAGUAAUCGUAGAUCAGCAUGCUACGGUGAAUACGUUCCCGGGUCU
RNAcentral lists this ribosomal RNA (1372 nucleotides) under uncultured bacterium. RNAcentral's name for it is "bacterial SSU rRNA". It matches the Rfam family "Bacterial small subunit ribosomal RNA", at positions 28 to 1381 of the family's 1533-position model. The record is from RNAcentral.